GCCCGUUUGGUCUAGGGGUAUGAUACCACAUUCGGGUUGUGGUGGCCGCCGGUUCAAAUCCGGCAACGGGCC
RNAcentral lists this transfer RNA (72 nucleotides) under Rhodotorula toruloides. RNAcentral describes it as "tRNA-Pro (CGG) cove score=53.78". It matches the Rfam family "tRNA". Rfam says of the family: Transfer RNA (tRNA) molecules are approximately 80 nucleotides in length. Their secondary structure includes four short double-helical elements and three loops (D, anti-codon, and T loops). Further hydrogen bonds mediate the characteristic L-shaped molecular structure. tRNAs have two regions of fundamental functional importance: the anti-codon, which is responsible for specific mRNA codon recognition, and the 3' end, to which the tRNAs corresponding amino acid is attached (by aminoacyl-tRNA synthetases). tRNAs cope with the degeneracy of the genetic code in two manners: having more than one tRNA (with a specific anti-codon) for a particular amino acid; and 'wobble' base-pairing, i.e. permitting non-standard base-pairing at the 3rd anti-codon position. Lineage: Eukaryota; Fungi; Basidiomycota; Microbotryomycetes; Sporidiobolales; Sporidiobolaceae. RNAcentral also lists the same sequence under 2 other names. The record is from RNAcentral.